AGUGAACGCUGGCGGUGUGCCUAACACAUGCAAGUCGAACGGCAGCACAGUAAGAGCUUGCUCGUACGGAUGGCGAGUGGCGGACGGGUGAGGAAUAGAGCGGCAUCUGCUUUUUCUUGGGGGAUAACGUGGGUAAACUUACGCUAAUACCGCAUACGACGUACGGGUGAAAGCAAGGGAUCUUCGGACCUUGCGCGAUUGAAUUAGCCGAUGUCGGAUUAGCUAGUUGGCGGGCAAAAGGCACACCAAGGCGACGAUCCGUAGCUGGUCUGAGAGGAUGAUUCGCCACACUGGAACUGAGAAACGGUCCAGACUCCGACGGGAGGAAGCAGUGGGGAAUACUGGACAAUGGGCGCAAGCCUGAUACAGCCAUACCGCGUGAGUGAAGAAGGCCUUCGGGUGGUAAAGCCAUGUUGUUGGGCAAGAAAAGCAGCAGGUUCAGAACCCGCUGUUAUGACGGUACCCAAAGAAUAAGCACCGGCUAACUUCGUG
This 492-nucleotide ribosomal RNA is filed under the name uncultured bacterium. Its description in RNAcentral is "partial 16S ribosomal RNA". It matches the Rfam family "Bacterial small subunit ribosomal RNA", at positions 29 to 507 of the family's 1533-position model. The record is from RNAcentral.